This 78-nucleotide microRNA precursor is filed under the name Prunus persica (peach). RNAcentral's name for it is "miR2111c stem-loop (ppe-MIR2111c)". The record is from miRBase by way of RNAcentral. Lineage: Eukaryota; Viridiplantae; Streptophyta; Magnoliopsida; Rosales; Rosaceae.
GGGUAAUCUGCAUCCUGAGGUUUAGAUCAACUUCAUUAUAAUAAUUGUUGUAUCUAGCCCUUGGGAUGCAGAUUACCU